Molecule: long non-coding RNA, 1056 nt
Filed under: Gallus gallus (chicken)
Lineage: Eukaryota; Metazoa; Chordata; Aves; Galliformes; Phasianidae
Description: lncRNA (ENSGALG00010010247.1)
Source: RNAcentral
CAAAAAGGGAAUUGAAACAACCAUCUCAUCUGACCUUAUAUUUCAGAUCAAGAAUUUGCACAAUAAUUUGUGUCAAGCUCUUUAUCAUGUGGCUGAAGCAAAGAAAUCUCAAGAGAGUGUUGUUGUACAUUUAUAUUAUUGUGGGGCUUUAUCACCUGAGUUUGGCUGAUUCAGCUGUUCCCCACCUCUAAAAGGGUGAAAUGCUGCCCUGCUCAGCUCUGGCUGCACAUCCUUGCAAUGGGUCUUAUGCUGGUUUCCACACCUUCAGCACCUCUGCUGCCACUGGAUUCGCUGAAUGGGCAGAGCAGUCCACAGAAUGAGGCUUCUACUGGGCCAGUAAGCAGAGCUGUGCAGGGGGCUGUGGAUCUCAUGGGCCUGGAGCUGACACAGAGGUGGAGUGGGCCUGGGUGACCGAGGGCAGGAAUAGAGAGGAGGAAGAGGGAGGGGAAGAAGGGGAAGAAGCUGUCUUUAGGCAGUGACAAGCCAGCAGCUUGACUCAGGGUGCUUGUGGAACUGCAGCCUGAAACACAUUUCUUUCCUUGCAUAUCAGAUUAUUCUCUCAGGUCACUGCAAUUUCCUGUACUGAAUUAUUUAAUGCUCAUAGGCUGCCAUGUUUGCCUUUCCACACUGAUAUCCCAUUUGUAAUUUGUUCCACAUGUUCACACUGAAAUAUCUUACAGCUACAGUGUGCUUCAAAGGAAGGGAUUAGGUAUCAAUCAUCCCAAACCUGAUGUCUCUCCUCGACGGUUAGCUGACAUAACCCCAAAGGAUCACAUUUCAGAGUCAAGACCAAGAAUUAAGCUACAUAAAUUGACCUGUUUGGAUAUUUCUAGCUUGUAUGUUUUCAUUGCACAGACUGCUAUAGAAACGUGAGAUCUAGCAAAAGAUUAAACUGUCCUGGUCCUCCCUCCCAGGGCACACUGACCUCCAAGACCCUGACACUGCGCUGAGAGGUGGGAAAGCACAAGAGAUCCUGACAGCUAAGUUACUGAGAAGGAGAAAGACUUUCCUCAAGCUGGUUAACUUCCUCAGUACCAGAGGUCUGGCAAAGAAAAG